UGGAGCAUCAGGUAAUGUUUUCCAGAGAGUUUGAAUAUAGCUCCAGAUUGAACGCUGGCGGGAUGCUUUACACAUGCAAGUCGAACGGCAGCACGGACUUUGAUCUGGUGGCGAGUGGCGAACGGGUGAGUGUAUCGGAACGUGCCUAGUAGCGGGGGAUAACUGCGAAAGCGUAGCUAAUACCGCAUACGCCCUUCGGGAAACAGGACCUUCAGACUCACUAUUAAACAGCCGAUAUCGGAUUAGCUAGUUGGUGGGGUAACGGCUCCGCAAGGCGACGAUCCGUAGCUGGUUUGAGAGGACGACCAGCCACACUGGGACUGAGACACGGCCCAGACUCUACGGGAGGCAGCAGUGGGGAAUUUUGGACAAUGGGGAAGCCCUGAUCAUGCAUCCCGCGUGUGCGAUGAAGGCCAUGGGUUCACGUAAACACUUUUGGCAGGAAAGAAACGGCACGGGAUAAUACCCCGUGCAACUGACCAAUACCCAGAAUAAAGCACCAGCUAACUACGUGCCAGCAGCCGCCAUGAUAUGUGGGUGCAAGCGUUAAUCGGAAUUACUGGGCGUAAAGCGUGCGCAGGCGGUUCGGAAAGAAGAUGCGAAAUCCCAGAGCUUAACUUUGGAACUACAUUUUUAACUACCGAGCUAGAGUGUGUCAGAGGGAGGUGGAAUUCCGCGUGUAGCAGUGAAAUGCGUAGAUAUGCGGAGGAACACCGAUGGCGAAGGCCUCCUGGGAUAGCCACUGACGCCAUGCACGAAAGCAUUGGGAGCAAACAGGAUUAGAUACCCUGGUAGUCUACGCCCUAAACGAUGUCAACUAGCUGUUGGGGCCUUCGGGCCUUGGUAGCGCAACUAACGCGUGAGAUUGACCUGCAGAGUGUUGAUCGCAAGAUUAAAACUCAAGAUUGACUGGGGACCCAUGCAAGCGGUGGAUGAUGCUGGGUUAAUUAUUUGACACGCCGAAGAGCCUGCCUGCCAUGGCUGUGUCCAAGAUCCCGAAGAAAGUUUAGGGUGCUCACAAAGAACAGUUUGGGUGCAUGGCUGUCGUCGUUAGCUCGUCGUGAGAUGUUGGGUUAAGUCCCGCAUGCCGAGCUGUAUGCGUCGAUCAGUUGCUGGGGCACUCGUGGACUGCCAGUGACAAACCGGAGGAAGGUGGGGAUGACGUCAAGUCUCAUGGCCCUUAUGGGUAGGGCUUCACACGAUCGUGCCAGUGGUCAGGACAGAGGGUCGCCAACGCGAGGAGGAGCCAAUCCAGAAACCCGAUCGUAGUCGGAUCGCGUCGCUAUCGUUGCGUGAAGUCGGAAUCGCUAGUAAUCGCGGAUAAGCAUGUCGCGGUGAAUACGUUCCCGGGUCUUGUACACACCGCCCGUCACACCAUGGGAGUGGGUUUUACCGAAGUAGUUAGCCUAACCGUAAGGAGGGCGAUUACCACGGUAGGAUUCAUGACUGGGGUGAAGUCGUAACAAGGCG
Molecule: ribosomal RNA, 1470 nt
Filed under: uncultured Bordetella sp.
Lineage: Bacteria; Pseudomonadati; Pseudomonadota; Betaproteobacteria; Burkholderiales; Alcaligenaceae
Description: partial 16S-23S ribosomal RNA intergenic spacer
Rfam family: Bacterial small subunit ribosomal RNA
Source: RNAcentral